AAAAUCCGUCGACUUUAGAAAUCGUGAGGGUUCAAGUCCCUCUAUCCCCCCAAAAAGACCGAUUUGACUAUUUCUCCUACCCUCUCUUUUUUUUAGUGGUUCAAAAUUCGUUCUCUUUCUCAUUCAUUCUACCUUUUUACAAACGUAUCAGAGCAGAAUUUUUUUUUCUUUUAUCACAAUCACAAGUGGUGUGGUAUAUAUGAUAUACGUACAAAUGAACAUCUUUGAACAAAGAAUCCCGAUUCACAAUUCAUAUCAUUGCUCAUACUGAAACUUAUAAAUUAUUCUAUUCAAGAAAUCGAAUUCCACGCUCAAGACUUUUAAUACUUUUUUAUCUUUUUUAAUUGACAUAGACCCCAGUCAUCUAGUAAAAUGAGGAUGAUGCGCCGGUAAUGGUCGGGAUAGCUCAGCUGGUAGAGCAGAGGACUGAAAAUCCUCG
RNAcentral lists this transfer RNA (439 nucleotides) under Acer henryi. RNAcentral's name for it is "partial transfer RNA-Leu". The stretch from base 396 to 439 matches the Rfam family "tRNA", at positions 1 to 43 of the family's 71-position model. The record is from RNAcentral. Lineage: Eukaryota; Viridiplantae; Streptophyta; Magnoliopsida; Sapindales; Sapindaceae.